UACGUAGGAGGCGAGCGUUGUCCGGAGUUACUGGGCGUAAAGGGUGCGCAGGCGGUCCGUGCAAGUGUGGGGUGAAAUCUCCCGGCUCAACCGGGAGGGUGCCGCGCAAACUGCCGGACUUGAGGCUCGGAGAGGGGCGUGGAAUUCCGGGUGGAGCGGUGAAAUGCGUAGAGAUCCGGAGGGACACCGACGGCGUAAGCAGCGCCCUGGACGAGACCUGACGCUCGGGCACGAAAGCUGGGGGAGCAAACAGG
This 254-nucleotide ribosomal RNA is filed under the name uncultured bacterium. RNAcentral's name for it is "partial 16S ribosomal RNA". It matches the Rfam family "Bacterial small subunit ribosomal RNA", at positions 524 to 776 of the family's 1533-position model. The record is from RNAcentral.